GACGGACGCUGGCGGCGUGCUUAACACAUGCAAGUCGAACGCUGAACCCGCUUCGGUGGGGGAUGAGUGGCGAACGGGUGAGUAGCACGUGGGCAACCUGCCCCCGGCUCUGGGAUAACUCCAAGAAAUUGGGGCUAAUACCGGAUGUGACCGCUGGCCGCAUGGUCUGGUGGUGGAAAGGGUUUCCGGCUGGGGAUGGGCCCGCGGCCUAUCAGCUUGUUGGUGGGGUAGUGGCCUACCAAGGCGACGACGGGUAGCCGGCCUGAGAGGGUGACCGGCCACACUGGGACUGAGACACGGCCCAGACUCCUACGGGAGGCAGCAGUGGGGAAUAUUGCGCAAUGGGCGGAAGCCUGACGCAGCGACGCCGCGUGGGGGAUGACGGCCUUCGGGUUGUAAACCUCUUUCAGCAGGGACGAAGCGCAAGUGACGGUACCUGCAGAAGAAGCACCGGCCAACUACGUG
RNAcentral lists this ribosomal RNA (465 nucleotides) under uncultured bacterium. RNAcentral describes it as "partial 16S ribosomal RNA". It matches the Rfam family "Bacterial small subunit ribosomal RNA", at positions 28 to 507 of the family's 1533-position model. The record is from RNAcentral.